AUACAGCUAUUAUUAUCUUCUCUAUCUCAGUAGGUGUUAAUCUCCUUCCACCUGUUCACCAGAUUGUUCUUUCUACAUCACUCGGCACUUCAAACAGUACUUGAGGCCAACUAAUAUGACUUCCUAAACAGUUUUUAGGAAUCUCUCCCAAAUGCUGUGUCAAGAGUCUGUUCUUGAUGGUGGUUCUCUGGGAUCUCCUGAUUCACCUCCCUGCCUCCUCUCAACUAACACAAAGACUUGUGUGGGAGACCAGAAUAUGCCUUACCAUAGCAUGAAGGACUGUUGAGCUGAAGGCAUUUAAGAAGAAAUGAUACAGCAGAGCUUUCCGCCCUCCCUCUGUUUGCCUAAAAGCUGGACAUAGAUUUAUAAACACAAAAUAUAUUCUGGCCCUACCCUUUGUUCCUCUCCCCAGCAAGAACAAAGGUUAACCACUGAAGACAGCUUUAGAUCCUCAUCUGCCUGGAGAUGAUACCAGAGGAAUUUAUAUUAACAAUCUUUACUCACUAGCCUUUAUCUGCCAUAUAUUUUCCUUUCCCCGUGUUACUAUCCAUAGAAACUGAAAGUUAUUUUCCUUUGUGUUGUUACUUCUCUUAGAAUUUACUAUUCUUUGUUAAAAAUGCUAUAUAAUCCAGAAUUCAAAGCCACCUCUUUGAGCAUUACUCAUUUUCUAGGUGUCUUCCAUAUGUAUAUGAAAUAUACAUGUUAACAAACUUCUGUUUGUUUUUCUCUUGUUAAUCUGUCUUUUGUAGCAGAAGUCUGUGUUCCAAUCACAAAUCUAUGAGUGUUAUUAUUUUUCCCCUAAGCUUGCAAACAAUACACAUAGAAUUUGUGUAUAUCCUUCACCCAAUUUUCCCUCAUAUGAAGAAUUUCCCCUUCAUGUUACAUAUCCUUGGCACAACUAGAAAACUAAUAUUGGUACAAUGCUAUCACUAAACAAUAGGUUUUAUUCAAAUUUCUCCCUUUUUCCACUAAUGUUCUUUUUCUGUUCCAGGCUCCAAGGAAUAGAAUUUUAUCAAAAGACAGAAGAGGAGGAUAUUUGAGAGGAGGGGAAGUACCUAAUACUGAAAACUAAUACAGUCCAGGAUGCAUGGAAGAUGAUCAGUAACACUUAUUCAAUCUAAACUACCCUAUUAGAUAGUGCAGAAUUUUCUCUGCAUUGCUGUUUUCUUUCCUGCAGUUAGCUCUGUCAGGUUGAACAGAAAGUGAUCAAUAAAGAGGAAAAUAAUUCAUGUUGUUCCCUUGCUGCCUUGUUGUGUUGCCUACUGCACCACCAGUAAUAGAAAAUUAGGCCGUGAGCAUUUCAGUGCUAAUACACUCCAGUGGCUUUUCUGCCUUGGUCUUCCAGCUUUGGCCUCAUUGCAUCACACUAGUGAUUAGAACAAAUAUGCCAGUCUGUGCUGUGUUUUCCCAAAUAAUUUUUUUAUUUUGCAGGGUAGAAGGAACUAGGUGUGGAACCUGCUCUAUAAAAAGGGAUAAACAAAGGCAUUUUCAUCAUGGGCCUUCCUUCUAAAAGGCUUUUCCAACAGCCUAUUUUU
This is a long non-coding RNA of Sapajus apella (tufted capuchin), 1535 nucleotides long. RefSeq lists it as uncharacterized. Lineage: Eukaryota; Metazoa; Chordata; Mammalia; Primates; Cebidae. The record is from RefSeq and is a predicted model, not a curated record. The transcript has 2 exons.